AAGUCGUAACAAGGUUUCCGUAGGUGAACCUGCGGAAGGAUCAUUGUCGAAUCCUGCAAACGACCGCGAACAAGUUCAUAAACUGACCGGGCGACGGCGAUAGGGGGCGACCCCGUUCGCACGACCCCGGGCCCAACUAAACUCCCGGCGCGGAAAGCGCCAAGGACUACUCAAACGGAUUGCCCGUCUCCCUUGCGAAUUCCGCGGGGGAGGCGUCGGCGUCUGAAACGUAACCAAAACGACUCUCGGCAACGGAUAUCUAGGCUCUC
This 269-nucleotide unclassified non-coding RNA is filed under the name air metagenome. Its description in RNAcentral is "partial contains small subunit ribosomal RNA, internal transcribed spacer 1, and 5.8S ribosomal RNA". The stretch from base 1 to 46 matches the Rfam family "Eukaryotic small subunit ribosomal RNA", at positions 1786 to 1831 of the family's 1831-position model. The record is from RNAcentral.